This 2359-nucleotide long non-coding RNA is filed under the name Homo sapiens (human). RNAcentral's name for it is "non-protein coding lnc-CCDC74A-7:5". Lineage: Eukaryota; Metazoa; Chordata; Mammalia; Primates; Hominidae. The record is from RNAcentral.
GAAUGAGACUCUUGAACGCUUCCUCUGACAAGCUCCAAGGCACACUGGUUGUCUUGCAGUGCUUUGGACAGCUACUCGUUUGUUGGACAAUAAUUUCCCAACAUGGGGACAACCCAGAGCAUUUUCCACUUCCAUAUUCUGCUUCAGUUGCUCAUGGUUUUGAUCGAAGCUAGACAGUGACUGAACCAGGAGGCUCAGACCCCAGGCCAGCGUGGAGUCCUGUGGUUGAAGACAGGCUGGACCAUCAGAGGAAGAAAACAAGUAGCCCUUUUUUCUGGAUUUUCACCUUCUCUGUUUUCAGGAAACCUGAAGCCAAUUAUGUUAUGCAGGCAUGACUGAAAAGAGAUUAUUUUGAGUUGUUUUGGUGGCACCAAGAAAUGUGCCAAUGUGACAGCCAAAAAAGCAGAAAGACCAAGGCAUUGAGAGUGGGAGAGCCACUGAUGAUGCUGGGUCUGGUAGGCUUUUCGAGAUCUCUCCCAGCCCCAAAACAGCCAAGCAACUCUGUCCUGGGUUGUGAGUGGGCUCAGCCGCCCCUGUGCACACCCAUGCUUGGAUUCUGGCACACAUGGCACCCACAGGAGGCAGUUCCCCCUUCAGGAGACUGGUUGGCAGGACCCUGUCUCCACACGCAAAGACAGCAGGCAGAACCCACACGUCCUCUAGUUUUCCCAGUGUCACUCGCCCAUGGGGGUUCACGAUGAGACCCCACGGGUCCAACCUGCAGGCAGAGUUGCCACCCCAGCCUGAGGCAAAGUGGACCUUUUUCUGCCAGAGGGGUCUGCUUUCCCAUUGGCCAAAAUGGCCUCAAAUGACAGGGACAGAACAAGGCACAAGUGUACCCAUUAGAGUGUCUGAGCCCGCCUGGUGUCUGCUUCCACACAUCUCCUGGGAGGUCCCAGCAGGCACCCAGGCCUGGGCCACAGCUCACCCCACAUUCAGAGGUGGGUAGCACAGCUGCCCUAUGCAGGCCUCAGGGAGGAAAGGGAGAAAGAGAUGACAAAAGCAAGACACAAGAAAUGCAGCAAAAGCACACAAACACACACACUGACACUCAUCUGGGGCAGGCCAUCCUCUCACCCAUGACCAGCAGUGCAGGCAGCUGAGAGUUGGGCAGGAGGUGGUGCCACCAUCCCCUGAGUUAGGGCCUGGAUCCAAGGAAGAACAUAGAGUCCCUAGAGUCAAGCGCCACUGACCUCAAGACCUGCAGUUUGCAGGGAGGGGAUGCUGUGAGAAGAACUGUUCUAGGUCACAGCGAAAUAUGUCUGACUUCAAGAAAAUAUUUGAAACCAAAGUACAUUUAUUGAAGACUCUCAAUGAUAUAAAAAAGCACAGUUUAGAAAAUGUGAAAGCAAUCACUGAACAUAUUCAUAUAUUUUCAUCUAAAUUUAGUUACAGAGUUUUUCUAAAACUGGGAUCAGGCCAGGUAUGGUGGCUCAGGCCUGUAAUCCUAGCACUUUGGGAGCUUGAGGCAGGAGGAUCGCUUGAGGCCAAGAGUGGAGACCAGCCUGGGCAACAUGGUGAGACCCCUCAUCUCUACCAAAAAUACAGAACUUGGCCAGUCAUGGUAGCACACUCCUGUAGUCCCAGCUACACAGAAGGCUGAGGUGGGAGAAUUGCUUGAGCCUGGGAGGUUGAGGCUGCAGUUAGACAAGACUGCACCACUGCAUUCCAGCCUGGGUGACAGCCUGUCUCAAAAAAUAAUAACAGUAAUUCCCGAUUUUAAUAAUUAUUCUAGAGUUGUGUAAAAGAAUACCCUUAGGAAAUGCACACUUUGGGGUAAUUAUGUCUAUAGUUUACACUGAAAUCAUUAAAAGAGGUAUGUAAACAGACAAAGCAAAUGGGACAAAAUGGAGCAAAUUUCUACAAAUUUUAGAAAUUGGUGAGUCUUGGUUAAGAGAAGGAGGAGGAUUCUUGGUACUAUUCUUGUGACUUUUGAAAUUAUAUAAAAAUUUUAAGUUCCUAAAAACUGGCUGUAGAACUAUACGCUCAGAGUGAGCAUUUAUUUUGUAAAAUAGUGAUUAAGACCAAAUCUUUAAUCAGUUAAAAAUCUGAUCAAAUAAAAGUAGUAAUAUAUUACGGUAUUUUUGACAUCAAAUCAUUGUAAAGGGGCAAUAACUUACAAGUUUGUCUCCAAGCACAGUACAUUUUUAUGGAUUUUUAAAGAAUUCACGUUCCCGUAAUUCUUACCUUCCUCCACCUAAAGUGACACAGUUUACCAAAUAAUUUGGAGUAAUGGUUAGAUUGGGUUAAAUUCUCAAGGCUUCCUCUUUAAAAAUCAUACAUUUAAUUCGGGUAGGGAAUGACUUGGCUUCUUUGUUCCUGUGAAAGAAGUAUAUAAAAAUGCCCCCUUAGUAACUAU